UACGUAGGGGGCAAGCGUUGUCCGGAAUCAUUGGGCGUAAAGCGCGUGUAGGCGGCAUGAUAAGUCUGGUGUGAAAACUUGAGGCUCAACCUCAAGGUUGUCGCUGGAAACUAUCAAGCUCGAGUCCGGAAGAGGAGAGUGGAAUUCCUGGUGUAGCGGUGGAAUGCGCAGAUAUCAGGAGGAACACCAAUGGCGAAGGCAGCUCUCUGGUACGUGACUGACGCUGAGACGCGAAAGCGUGGGGAGCGAACAGG
This 254-nucleotide ribosomal RNA is filed under the name uncultured bacterium. RNAcentral describes it as "partial 16S ribosomal RNA". It matches the Rfam family "Bacterial small subunit ribosomal RNA", at positions 524 to 776 of the family's 1533-position model. The record is from RNAcentral.